UUGCAGUUCGCGAUUCGCGCUUAGUGCGUUUUCGCGCGGUCUGUAGAUAAGUGUCAGCGAUGGCGCUGAUAGUAUCCUACCCCUCAUCUCUACCCUCGUCGUGUUGAAGUUUCCCCAAAUUUUGAUAGUCGCUAAACCCCCGGUAGUUCGCCCGAAUUUCCGUGGUCCAGUAGUUUUUCAAAGUUGUCGAGAAGUCCCCGAGAAAUUCCCCUUUGUUUGAUCAAAAGAUUCCCGAACGUUAUUUUUUUAGCGAAAAAUUUGUUCAAAGGACUAGUACCUCACGCAGAAAACAAGCGGCGAAUUUUCCCCCUAGCCGAGACGGCACCGGGCACCAGACCUUGCUCACCUGCAUGCCCGGACACAGUAGGCCCUCGUCCAUCCGGUAUACGGGCUUAUUCGGAAGGGGGGUAAAUGAGAAAGGGGGCCAGGGGGGCCAAGGGGGAGGGACUGACUACAAUCAGCACCUCAGUGUGUGAAUCGCCAAUUUCCCAGUUUAGCAGAGGCGGGCUCUCACCGCGUGCCCGGCGCCGGUCCGUGGGACGACCACGUCGGUGAGUUUUCUUGUUUUCCCGAUUUAUAUAGAGAAUUUUCCACCGGUGAUUUGACAAUAAUUGGAAAUAUUUGAUUAGAAUUAGUCUUGCUGCGUCUCGUGUUGCCUACUUUCCACUUUCCACUGUGUUUUAUUUUUUAAAAAAUUGCUUCUGCCUUGUACCUACAUUGUUAAAAAUUUUGGAGUGAAAUUCUGUGCCGGAGUCUAUGUAGCGCCCAAAACCCCGAGAGAUGCCGAUUAUUGACAUUGAUAGACAUAGCUAUAGACAAAGAGGACAAAAAGGGUAUGAAGGGAUCUUAUUGGUGGAAGCAGGGGGUGCGGUGGACAUAGGAGAUACUGCCUUGCCAAGGGAGAACGCCGUAUGAGCCCCCAGACGCUGCCAUAUUUCCUUCAAUUUAUUGCGAAAAUUGUGGUUAUUUUUCUUCAAAUUUUUCAUACUAUUUUAUUCGCACUUUAAUCUGAAAUAUCUGCAAAUUUGAAGGAAAAAGAUUCAUAACUUUCCUCAAAAAUUCAUUACUUGUCCGCGGGAAUUUGGCAACUCUAGAAUGUUCUUAUGGCG
RNAcentral lists this long non-coding RNA (1109 nucleotides) under Bemisia tabaci. Its description in RNAcentral is "lncRNA ENSSWEETPG005863". The record is from RNAcentral. Lineage: Eukaryota; Metazoa; Arthropoda; Insecta; Hemiptera; Aleyrodidae.